AUAAGUGGUGGGUAAGACGGGUGCCAGCCGCCGCGGUAACACCCGCGCCACAAGUGGCGAUCGCUAUUAUUGGGCCUAAAGCGUCCGUAGCAGGUUCUACAACUCUCCUGUGAAAUUGUUGCGCUCAACGUAACAGCGGGCAGGAGACACUUUAGAACUUGGGACCGGGAGGAGUGAGAGGUAUUUCGUGGGGAGCGGUAAAAUGCUAUAAUCCACGAAGGACUACCAAUGGCGAAGGCAUCUCACCAGAACGGAUCCGACUGUGAGGGACGAAAGCUAGGGGAGCGAACCGGAUUAGAUUUCGAGGUUCUCGACUAAAAAACAUAUCAUCUGUUCACUUUUGAACAACUACUGGAUGAAAUGAAAAUGGAGAACAUAACUCGACUAAAUACCCGAGUAGUCCUAGCCGUAAACGCUGCGAGCUAGGUGUUGCACAAUCUUCGAGAUUGUGCAGUAUCGAAGCGAAGGUGAU
Molecule: ribosomal RNA, 472 nt
Filed under: uncultured crenarchaeote
Lineage: Archaea; Thermoproteati; Thermoproteota
Description: bacterial SSU rRNA
Rfam family: Archaeal small subunit ribosomal RNA
Source: RNAcentral